GUCGAACGGCAGCACGGGAGCAAUCCUGGUGGCGAGUGGCGAACGGGUGAGUAAUGCAUCGGAACAUACCCAGUCGUGGGGGAUAACGUAGCGAAAGUUACGCUAAUACCGCAUACGUCCUGAGGGAGAAAGCGGGGGAUCGCAAGACCUCGCGCGAUUGGAGUGGCCGAUGUCAGAUUAGCUAGUUGGUGGGGUAAAGGCCUACCAAGGCGACGAUCUGUAGCGGGUCUGAGAGGAUGAUCCGCCACACUGGGACUGAGACACGGCCCAGACUCCUACGGGAGGCAGCAGUGGGGAAUUUUGGACAAUGGGCGCAAGCCUGAUCCAGCCAUGCCGCGUGCGGGAAGAAGGCCUUCGGGUUGUAAACCGCUUUCAGCCGGAAAGAAAUUGCUAUUCCUAAUACGAGUAGUGGAUGACGGUACCGGAAGAAGAAGCACCGGCUAACUACGUGCCAGCAGCCGCGGUAAUACGUAGGGUGCGAGCGUUAAUCGGAAUUACUGGGCGUAAAGCGUGCGCAGGCGGUUUCUUAAGCCAGACGUGAAAUCCCCGGGCUUAACCUGGGAACUGCGUUUGGAACUGGGAGACUAGAGUACGGCAGAGGGAGGUGGAAUUCCACGUGUAGCAGUGAAAUGCGUAGAGAUGUGGAGGAACACCGAUGGCGAAGGCAGCCUCCUGGGCCUGUACUGACGCUCAUGCACGAAAGCGUGGGGAGCAACAGGAUUAGAUACCCCUGGUAGUCCACGCCCUAAACGAUGUCAACU
This 761-nucleotide ribosomal RNA is filed under the name uncultured bacterium. RNAcentral's name for it is "bacterial SSU rRNA". It matches the Rfam family "Bacterial small subunit ribosomal RNA", at positions 61 to 817 of the family's 1533-position model. The record is from RNAcentral.